RNAcentral lists this long non-coding RNA (1436 nucleotides) under Mus spicilegus (steppe mouse). Its description in RNAcentral is "lncRNA (ENSMSIG00000017416.1)". Lineage: Eukaryota; Metazoa; Chordata; Mammalia; Rodentia; Muridae. The record is from RNAcentral.
CUGGUAUAGACUGGUAGAGGAUCUCCUGAGGGUGGAGUUGAUCAGGAGUGUGAUGCAGGGCAGGUGGUCCUAAGGGUAUUUAGGUAGCUCAUCGCUUCUGAGCAUUCCUUUCUCUUAUUAAUUCUGAACUCAGGACAGUUUGGAGUAGGGAGAGAGGACAACAAAGAAGUAGGAGGCUGGUAUUCCAUGGACUGCUAGGGCUUUGUGCUGCCAUAUCCUGGAGCUCUGCCCUGACAUGGCUCAGUAGAUACUUAGUUAUCAAGAAGAGGUCAAAUUGUGUUGGACAGGAGAUCGUUCAUUAAAUAGUGGAAGACACACAGUAGUUUAUGUUCAAGGACAUGCAAGCAAAGUAGUAUUCACUUCCAUCAAGAUGUGCUCAAGUGCUAGGCUCCAGAGCUUGCUAACAUGACCUUAUUUGGAGAUGGUGAGUCUUAACUGAUGUAAUCAAUCUAUUAUGAAGUCAUACUGGGCUAGUAUGGACCAUGACCUAAAUGACUGACAUUCUUGUGAUGGUGAUGGCUCUGUGAAAAUGGAGAUUGGAGUGGUUGUCUACAAACCAGAAAAUGUCAGGCCUUUCUAGAAAUCCUUCAAAGCCAGGAGAGAUGAGGGGAAAAUUUUCCUCACCCCUGAGCUGAGAGAGAGAGAGAGAGAGAGAGAGAGAGAGAGAGAGAGAGAGAGAGCAUUGUUAAUGUCUUGAAUUUGCAGUUCUUUGUAUACUUCUGAAGUUCAAACUCUGCUGCCUACACUCCACCUUUUCUUGCUACCCAACACAGCCAGAUAUCAUCUCGUUAGAGUUUUUCCCAUUGCUGUUUAAUAUUCAGAAGACUCACAAUUGCAUAUCCAAUGUAAGGGUAGAGUUAUUGACUGCCGAGAAAGGAGGUAUUGUUGAAGCCGUCUUUUAUUUUGUGUCUGUGCAGAUGGCAUACAAAUGCCUCCAUGAUACAGGCAGAGAGGCCAGUGAACACAUCUGAAUCUGAAUGUGGAACACCAGCUGUCUCACUCAGCCCUUCCCACCACCUUCGUGUGAGCACGUGGACAAAACAUUUAGAGAUUGAAGGUGUCACUAAUUUUCUGUAGUAAUUGAAUUCCCAAGUUAAGGAAUAGCACAACGAACGGAGCCUGUCUGGUCCUCAUGGACUGUUUUACCUCUCAUAUUCCAGGUUGGUAUGCUGAGUUGCUGGUGACUAAGCAAAGCCUGACACAGCUUCACAAGAGGUCCCUCAAACUUUGACCGCCAUGGAGACUUGGCAAUCCAUUCAGACUACUUUGAGAAGCAGUUCAAAACUGAUUUGUAUUCUAUGAUUCUUUUUCCUACCUUGUAUUUCUUUCUGUAAAAGAGUUGAGGCUGAUCUAAUUUUAGGAUUUGGCCAUUUGAGUUGAACUUGGUGGUUUUAGUUUUAUUGCUGUUUUUCUUCUUUUAGGUUGAGAGCGAGAGG